UUGGCUGGUUGAUUAGUACUGUUAAUUGCUGCUUGAGCUUUUGGAUGGUUCUAACCGCAUGUGGAAACCUAGCUCGACUCCAUUUAGCAAGGUAAUGGGUGACUUGGAGAAGUUUCGCUAUAAAAGAAUUAGGGGUAGUAGGGCCGUCCAUCCACACUUCGCAUACCACACGAUCACAAUCAGCAUCUUCAUUCCAAUAGGCUUCAUAUUUAAAAGUUCGCACCCGAGGCCCUUGAGAAGGUAGAAGUGAAAUUCACAGAGGACUGUGGUCGGAACCAAUGGCGGGCAAUGCAAAAGCUUCAGCUUGUGGGCAUAGUAAUCUCCAAUCAAGAGAGCAAAGCACUCUGUCAAGUUUCUCCUUAAUCAUAUACCGCCCCGCCCUAUUAUUAGACCACGUAUACCCGCAACCAUGGCUUUCUACUUCCAUUAAUGAGCACUCCGUGAGAAAGUGCCUAAAGGCUGAUAUACGCCAAUGUUCGGGACGACAGCCGCCUUCUUUUUCCCAAUCAUAUAGGAUCUCGUUGAAGUCGCCUAGACAAAGCCAAGGAAGGUGUAGUUGCUGUUUUAUGUGGCUGAGUGACUCCCAUAGAUGUUGUCGCUCCGAAAAGGAGUUCGGUGCAUGAACAAAGGUUAUCUCCAUACUCAUUUGGCUAUCCCGAUCAGCGUAGGAUAGAUGAACAAAAGUGUCAGAGGCAGAGAUGAUAUGUACAGCUGCCAUGUUCGACCAAAAAACGGCUAGUCCUCCAACCGUGCCUGUAGGAGGAACU
Molecule: long non-coding RNA, 767 nt
Organism: Rhodamnia argentea
Lineage: Eukaryota; Viridiplantae; Streptophyta; Magnoliopsida; Myrtales; Myrtaceae
Exons: 2
Source: RefSeq, a predicted model, not a curated record